AGAAGAGUCACUUUACAGCAAAGGAGAUAUGGUGGUACAGAUAUGACGAUGGGACCCAUAAAUACUGUUAUGUACUGCACUGCCAAAGAUGAACAGGCAAUAAAAAAAGCCAGCAUGUUGUCAAGAGUAAUUAACCCUGAUAAUCAAGGGGAGCUUGGGGCAAGAUGGCCGACUAGACACAGCAAGUGGAAUUACCGCCAGCAAGGGACUGAGACAACUGGCGCACUCCUAACAAAUCAUCCGAUGGAAGGCACCAGGAGUGGCCGAGGGAAGACACAGAAGGAAGCUGGGCUGAAACAGGAGGAACAUUGCACUGGGCUACCAUGCGCUGGGACUUGUUCCUGGCCCCCAAGGACUCUCAGGGAAUGGGUUUAAGGUGUACAUCUUCAGGUUCAACACAUGGACAAAUUUUGUGUUACUGAGGUUUGGCGUAUGAAUGAUCCCAUCACCCAGCUAGAAUUCAAGCCUUAGAUAUUUUGAGUUUUUAAAGUUCCAGAUCCUUGAGGAAUCGCGACACUGUCUUACACAAUGGUUGAACUAAUUUAUACGCCCACCAACAGUGUAAAAGCCUUCCUAUUUCUCUACAACCUCUCCAGUAACUGUUUUUUCCUGACUUUUUAAUGAUCGCCAUUCUAACUGGCAUGAGAUGGUAUCUCAUUGUGGUUUUGAUUUGCAUUUCUCUAACAACCAGUGAUGAUGACCUUUUUUUCAUGUUUUUUGGCCGCAUAAAUGUCUUCUUUUGAAAGUGUCUGUUUAUAUCCUUUGCCCAGUUUUGAUGUUUUUUUUUUAUUUUCUUGUAAAUUUGUGUAAGUGCCUUGUAGAUUCUGGAUAUUAGCCCUUUGUCAGAUGGAGAGAUUGCAAAAUUUUCUCCCAUUCUGUAGGUUGCCUGUUGACUCCGACGAUAGUUUCUUUUGCCAUGCAGAAGCUCUUUAGUUUAAUUAAAUCCCAUUUGUC
RNAcentral lists this long non-coding RNA (954 nucleotides) under Homo sapiens (human). Its description in RNAcentral is "long intergenic non-protein coding RNA 1687". Lineage: Eukaryota; Metazoa; Chordata; Mammalia; Primates; Hominidae. The record is from RNAcentral.